GUGCUUGCUUUGGCAAGAACGUAUACUAAAAUUGGAAUGAUACAGAGAAGACUUGCAUGGCCCCUGUGCAGCAGGGAUGACACACAAAUUCCUGAAGUGUUCCAUAUUUUU
Small nuclear RNA from Acomys russatus (golden spiny mouse), 111 nucleotides. NCBI's taxonomy places the organism in Eukaryota, Metazoa, Chordata, Mammalia, Rodentia, Muridae. The record is from RefSeq and is a predicted model, not a curated record.